UCGGGUAUGGUGUAGCGGUAACAUCGUUGACUCUCACUUCUCAGAAGUGUCUGCUCUAUCUCUCAACAGCCCCGGGUUCGACUCCCGGUAUCCGAG
Molecule: non-coding RNA, 96 nt
Organism: Podospora fimiseda
Lineage: Eukaryota; Fungi; Ascomycota; Sordariomycetes; Sordariales; Podosporaceae
Source: the annotation of a GenBank genome assembly